Molecule: ribosomal RNA, 292 nt
Filed under: uncultured bacterium
Lineage: Bacteria
Description: partial 16S ribosomal RNA
Rfam family: Bacterial small subunit ribosomal RNA
Source: RNAcentral
GUGUCAGCCGCCGCGGUAAGACGAACCGUGCGAACGUUAUUCGGAAUCACUGGGCUUAAAGGGCGCGUAGGCGGGCCGAAAAGUCAGGGGUGAAAUCCUCCAGCCCAACUGGAGAAGCGCCUUUGGUACUGUCGGCCUCGAGGGGUGCAGGGGCAUGCGGAACUCAGGGUGGAGCGGUGAAAUGCGUAGAUAUCCUGAGGAACACCGGUGGCGAAAGCGGCGUGCUGGACACCUUCUGACGCUGAGGCGCGAAAGCCAGGGGAGCGAACGGGAUUAGAUACCCCUGUAGUCC